Molecule: transfer RNA, 80 nt
Filed under: Ptychobarbus conirostris
Lineage: Eukaryota; Metazoa; Chordata; Actinopteri; Cypriniformes; Cyprinidae
Description: tRNA-Leu
Source: RNAcentral
GCUCUCAAAGGAUAAUAGUUCAUCCGUUGGUCUUAGGAACCAAAAACUCUUGGUGCACGGGGGGAACUCCAGUGUGAGCU